RNAcentral lists this ribosomal RNA (253 nucleotides) under uncultured bacterium. Its description in RNAcentral is "partial 16S ribosomal RNA". It matches the Rfam family "Bacterial small subunit ribosomal RNA", at positions 524 to 776 of the family's 1533-position model. The record is from RNAcentral.
GACAGAGGUGCCGAGCGUUAGGCGGAAUCACUGGGCUUAAAGCGUGUGUAGGCGGACUUCUAAGUACCUUGUGAAAUCCCAUGGCUCAACCAUGGAACUGCUUGGUAUACUGGUUGUCUUGAGCCACUUAGGGGCAGUCGGAACAGAUGGUGGAGCGGUGAAAUGCGUAGAUAUCCUAAGGAACACCGGUGGCGAAGGCGGCUCACUGGGUCUCUUCUGACGCUGAGGCACGAAAGCUAGGGUAGCGAACGGG